ACGAACGCUGGCGGCAUGCCUAACACAUGCCAGUCGCACGAGACCUUCGGGUCUAGUGGCGCACGGGUGCGUAACGCGUGGGAACCUGCCCUUAGGUUCGGAAUAACUCCCCGAAAGGGGUGCUAAUACCGAAUAAUGUCUUCGGACCAAAGAUUUAUCGCCUUUGGAUGGGCCCGCGUUGGAUUAGCUAGUUGGUAGGGUAAAAGCCUACCAAGGCGACGAUCCAUAGCUGGUCUGAGAGGAUGAUCAGCCACACUGGGACUGAGACACGGCCCAGACUCCUACGGGAGGCAGCAGUGGGGAAUAUUGGACAAUGGGCGAAAGCCUGAUCCAGCAAUGCCGCGUGAGUGAUGAAGGCCUUAGGGUUGUAAAGCUCUUUUACCCGGGAUGAUAAUGACAGUACCGGGAGAAUAAGCUCCGGCUAACUCCGUG
This 432-nucleotide ribosomal RNA is filed under the name uncultured bacterium. Its description in RNAcentral is "partial 16S ribosomal RNA". It matches the Rfam family "Bacterial small subunit ribosomal RNA", at positions 29 to 507 of the family's 1533-position model. The record is from RNAcentral.